GACCCCUGCCCUGCCCUGGGGGCGGGGGGAAGAACCCUCGUCUCCUGUGUCCCUGUGGGGAGAAGAGCCCGGCCCUGCGGGAUCCCCCGGGAAGGGCUGUUCCCCAUGGGAUCCCCACAACUUGCGGGAGGAUGGAGAGUGCCAAGCCCUGCUAGGGGAAGAAGAGCCCUGGCUUCCUAAGGGUCCCCCAACUCUUUAGAGGAAAUCUCUUAAUUCCCCCUAAAGGAGUGACGUGGCACCAGCUCUCCAUCUUCCUGGUUUCUCUGGCACAGCUAGUACUGACCACCACCAGAGAUGUUCAUCAGAUACAGGAUGGAAAUUCCUAUGUUUCUACAUCAUGAUGGGCCAAUGAAGAUGACAGAAUACGCAGAAAAGGCAAAACUGUCAAAAUGAGAGUGAAAACGCUAAGGAAAAGAUUAUAUAAAUGAUAGCAAUGCAAGCAACUCAACAAGUGAAUCAAACAACUGAAUCAAAAUAUAUCUUAUUUGUUAGAAUAAAAAGUGUUUGGGCACUAGUUUAAGUGAUACCUGUACUUUGAACUUGAAUAAUUAGAAGCUAUCCUGAUUGCCAUUUUUAUAUAAACCAUAGAUGCAAAGUUUUCCAUACUAAAGCUAUCAUUGUUUGCCAUAGCUUCAUGGAAUAAUGUUAGCCUUGUGCAGAUGUUUCCUGACUUUUGCAUCCAUGAUGUGUUAGCCAUUUGAUCUGUCAUUAACAAGGUAGAUACCUUUUUGCACAUUAAUUUAUAAAUAUACAAACAAAUUCCACAGAUUCUAUUUAAUGAAAAUUGUUAUGCUAUUGCCAGUGAAAGUGUAUUAAGUUUUACAAACAGCAGGGUAGGCAAACUAGUGUGGGUGUGGGGGGGGAUCUUACACCAUUUGAAGUGUGGCAGAAAUGUAUUGCAUAUGUUCUGAAGCACGCUUGGUCAUGAUGGUUUGUAUCUCAGCCUGAAUGCUAUUUUCACUUAGGUAAAUUUGGGUGUAUAUAUUUGUUGUUUCUCUUGAAACAGGAGGUUCUUGCACUUUGAUAAAUGGAUUGAAAGGUU
Molecule: long non-coding RNA, 1042 nt
Organism: Chrysemys picta bellii (western painted turtle)
Lineage: Eukaryota; Metazoa; Chordata; Testudines; Emydidae
Source: RefSeq, a predicted model, not a curated record